UGUGCUGUUAUGAAAUCUAAUAGGCUCGUUAGGACUUAAAUAUUUGUUACUGCCAGAUAACUGAAUUUAUACUAGUCACUUUCUUUUCUCUCAGUGAACCAAUUCCUUUGUAAUAACACUUGGCAAAAGCACACACUAUUACAAAUUCAUUACCAAAAGAAUUCAGCAAAUAAUAUCACAUCAAUCAACUUUCGAGAAAAUAAUCAUCCACUGCUUUUUCAUUUUAUACGCUGGUGUGUGGCAGUAUAUACAAAUUUUCAGCAUUUCUCUAAGCAUCUGAGUGUGUGGAAGGCAGCCUGGGCAGUGAGCAUAACACUAAGUACAACAGCAUCGUAUGUAUAGUCGUUACCAGAAGUCUAGUAAGCUGCAUUUACUUCCACUCUGUGUUACGUCUUCCAUCGCUCUUAAGUCCUCUGAUCUUCUGACAGUCUCCUUAGCAAACCUGACUUGAUAAAUUCGUAGCUGAUCAGAGAACUUCAGAUUGAGGACAGUAUUCUUAAACACUUCAACACCUUACCAGAUUGUGGUGGAAGUUAUAGGAGUUUUAAUGGGUGCUUUCAUGUUUUUAGGGAUAGAUUUACAGAGACACUGCCUGAUCAGUAGGACAAACAUCCAUUAGAACACGACUAACCAUCUCUUUGGUCUUUGAAAAUAGUUAGAUUUGGAGAGCAAGGAUUUCAAGAGCGUUUUCAUGAUUCUAGGGAGAGACUAACAGGAACAGUACUUUAUAACGAAGGAAAAACACCCAUGAGAACCCGUCUGACCAUCUCUUUAGCCUUUAAAAACUGUCUUCAUGAAAGAACAAAGCCUGAAAACAAACACUAAGAGCAGAGGAAAGUAGAGCAGUGUGUUACAAGACUAAUGACCUUGACUAGUACACGGCGAGCAUCAAAUUGAAAUCUCGCGGUUACUUCACAGAGCGACCCGCGUGCCCUCUGUCAUGUGGGGCUCGGUUGAGUAAGUGUUGACAGACCUAGUGUACUGUGAAGGCGUGCAAGACAUGUGCGGUCAUAAAUCUUUCGUUUUACCGCGCCUCCCGGAGUCAGCAGGUGCGGGGGUGUGCCGGGCCAUGCUACCAAGUGAGGGAGACUCCUGACUAGAGACGAGAAUCACGACUACAGUGGCAAUCGGUGCCUGGACAGUUUUUCUGAAGGAGGGCUGACGGAGAGGGAGGUCCAGACGGCUGAGGAAGAGGAGGCCCACUGGAUGGAUGCGGGACUCGCCACAGAGCAGCGGAGAACAGUGAAUGUGUUUGAUUCUUCUGGCCAAAGACUGUAUUCUUAAACGCUUUGGCAUCUUACCUCCAUUCAUUUUAACAUGUUCUUGUGGAAGUUAUUAUGAAUUUCAAGUGUUUCUAUCAUUUUAGUGGCACUUUAACAAUGAUUCUGCAUUAACAACGAGGAAAAGUUAAAAAAAAAAAAUCACUAGAACCUGAAAAAUUAUCUUUGUGGCCUUUGAACAUAAUCUUUAUGAAAGUUCAAACAGUUUCAGAAUAUUUUUUAGUUGUUUUAUUGAUAGAAAAAAAAGGAAUUGGGACGAGCUAGCGUGUUAAACGUAGCAGGAAGAAAUUUAUACAUGAAAAUUCUCUCUCUCUCUCUCUCUCUCUCUCUCUCUCUCUCUCUCUCUCUCUCUCUCUCUCUCUCUCUCUCUCUCUCUCUCUCUCUCUCUUAUACUGCAAAUUUCCAUUAAUUUUUCAUGGCAUAAGGAAUUCUAAUGAACCGUAAUGUGAAGCUGAAGUGCCAAAGUAAAAUUGUCUCUGAAUAAAUCAGUCACACCUGCCUCUUUACAUUUUCUGUCGUGUCGUCGCUGAAUUAUCAUUAGCGAGGUGAAGAAAACGAUCCUCAGAGAAAAUUCCUCACGCAAGCAGAUUACAACCUAACAGAGAUACCCGUCUUAAAAAAAUUCACCGAAAAUAACUUAUACAUGAUUAAACCCUAUUUAUUUUCA
This is a long non-coding RNA of Scylla paramamosain (green mud crab), 1947 nucleotides long. RefSeq lists it as uncharacterized. Lineage: Eukaryota; Metazoa; Arthropoda; Malacostraca; Decapoda; Portunidae. The record is from RefSeq and is a predicted model, not a curated record. The transcript has 4 exons.